GCCAGACUCCUACGGGAGGCAGCAGUGGGGAAUAUUGGGCAAUGGGCGCAAGCCUGACCCAGCAACGCCGCGUGAAGGAAGAAGGCUUUCGGGUUGUAAACUUCUUUUGACAGGGAAGAGUAGAAGACGGUACCUGUCGAAUAAGCCACGGCUAACUAUGUGCCAGCAGCCGCGGUAAUACAUAGGGAGCAAGCGUUAUCCGGAUUUAUUGGGUGUAAAGGGUGCGUAGACGGGAAAUUAAGUUAGUUGUGAAAUCCCUCGGCUUAACUGAGGAACUGCAACUAAAACUGAUUUUCUUGAGUACUGGAGAGGAAAGUGGAAUUCCUAGUGUAGCGGUGAAAUGCGUAGAUAUUAGGAGGAACACCAGUGGCGAAGGCGACUUUCUGGACAGUAACUGACGUUGAGGCACGAAAGUGUGGGGAGCAAACAGGAUUAGAUACCCUAGUA
This 447-nucleotide ribosomal RNA is filed under the name uncultured bacterium. RNAcentral's name for it is "bacterial SSU rRNA". It matches the Rfam family "Bacterial small subunit ribosomal RNA", at positions 330 to 792 of the family's 1533-position model. The record is from RNAcentral.